GGCCGGAUGGCAGAGUGGCUUAUGCUCGGGCCUGCAAAGCCCGCUACCCCGGUUCGAUUCCGGGUCCGGCCUCCA
This 75-nucleotide transfer RNA is filed under the name Alphaproteobacteria bacterium. Its description in RNAcentral is "tRNA-Cys". It matches the Rfam family "tRNA". Rfam says of the family: Transfer RNA (tRNA) molecules are approximately 80 nucleotides in length. Their secondary structure includes four short double-helical elements and three loops (D, anti-codon, and T loops). Lineage: Bacteria; Pseudomonadati; Pseudomonadota; Alphaproteobacteria. The record is from RNAcentral.